This 495-nucleotide ribosomal RNA is filed under the name uncultured bacterium. RNAcentral's name for it is "partial 16S ribosomal RNA". It matches the Rfam family "Bacterial small subunit ribosomal RNA", at positions 29 to 506 of the family's 1533-position model. The record is from RNAcentral.
AUGCACGCUGGCGGCGUGCCUAAUACAUGCAAGUCGAGCGAACGGACGAGAAGCUUGCUUCUCUGAUGUUAGCGGCGGACGGGUGAGUAACACGUGGAUAACCUACCUAUAAGACUGGGAUAACUUCGGGAAACCGGAGCUAAUACCGGAUAAUAUUUUGAACCGCAUGGUUCAAAAGUGAAAGACGGUCUUGCUGUCACUUAUAGAUGGAUCCGCGCUGCAUUAGCUAGUUGGUAAGGUAACGGCUUACCAAGGCAACGAUGCAUAGCCGACCUGAGAGGGUGAUCGGCCACACUGGAACUGAGACACGGUCCAGACUCCGACGGGAGGCAGCAGUAGGGAAUCUUCCGCAAUGGGCGAAAGCCUGACGGAGCAACGCCGCGUGAGUGAUGAAGGUCUUCGGAUCGUAAAACUCUGUUAUUAGGGAAGAACAUAUGUGUAAGUAACGGUGCACAUCUUGACGGUACCGAAUCAGAAAGCCACGGCUAACUACGU